RNAcentral lists this ribozyme (66 nucleotides) under Aedes aegypti (yellow fever mosquito). RNAcentral describes it as "drz-agam-1 ribozyme". It matches the Rfam family "drz-agam-1 ribozyme". The record is from Rfam by way of RNAcentral. Lineage: Eukaryota; Metazoa; Arthropoda; Insecta; Diptera; Culicidae.
UGCCCAGCGAUUCCUAUCCCUACCUCCUCGCGGUACUGGCCAGGGUACGAGAAACCUUAGGGAAGA